This 90-nucleotide transfer RNA is filed under the name SAR202 cluster bacterium AC-409-J13_OGT_754m. RNAcentral describes it as "tRNA-Ser". It matches the Rfam family "tRNA". Rfam says of the family: Transfer RNA (tRNA) molecules are approximately 80 nucleotides in length. The record is from RNAcentral. Lineage: Bacteria; Bacillati; Chloroflexota; Dehalococcoidia.
GGAGAGGUGGCUGAGUGGCUGAAGGCGCCGCUCUCGAAAAGCGGUAUAUGGGUGACUGUAUCGCGGGUUCGAAUCCCGCCCUCUCCGCCA